CGGCCGCAUCACGUUGAAGAACAGGUUCCAUACAAUCACCAAAGUUAAGCAACAUCGACCUUGGUCAGUACCUAGGUGGGUGACCGCUUGGGAAUUCCAGAUGCUGUAAG
Non-coding RNA from Acanthosepion pharaonis, 110 nucleotides. The record is from the annotation of a GenBank genome assembly. Lineage: Eukaryota; Metazoa; Mollusca; Cephalopoda; Sepiida; Sepiidae.